CUGAGCCUGACUCGGAGGUGAUUGGAAAUGUUCAGGGUAUUGCGCUAAUGGCUGGAAUGAAUGCAUCCAGCACACAAUACAUAGAUUUUGCAUUUAAUACCGGUAAGUUUAACGGCAGCUCUCUAAGCGUAUUUUCAAGGGGAGAACCUGGGCUUGCGGUGGUCGGAGGAAGAGGACGAUUCAUGAUGACAACAGGGGUUGCACUAUUUAACCCUAUCCUUAUAAAUGCCACCACUGUCAUUAUUGAAUUAAACGUUACUGUAAUUCAUUACUAAGGUGCUAUUUACAGACGCAGUUCUCAUCGAAUGUGAAAAUUAAAAUUCUCAUACUUCAUCAUCGUACUUUAUUAUUAUAUUAGAAAUAAAGAUCCAUGGUUGAGCUAUUUGAAUAUAAAUAUUUUUCAAUUGAUGUAAAUUUUUUUGAAUAUAUAACAUAUAAUUUACAACAAUAAAAUUAAAAUUUAAACAAUAAAAUAAAUAUGUAAAAAAAAUCGAUAAAUUCGAAAUGGUACACUAAAAUAUACUGGUAUCAAUAUUUACCAGUACCAUGAUCCCUUUUUUCUUCUUUCUUGGUAUUCUUUUUGUUUGCUUUUCUGUUCACGUUUGAGGUUCGUUGUUGACCUUCACAACAAUAUCACCUCUAAGGUAUGAUCUAGCAUAUUUCUUCCUUAACACACCUUUUCAUGUUUGAGGAUAUAACAUGUCUUACUACUACUUUGUUUCUUCCUUAACACACCUUUUUAUCUGUUUCUAGAAUUACUUCUAAAUUAGCUAUUAAAAAUGAAAGACCAAAAUAUCCCACUAAUAUUAAUUUUAAUUGACUUACAUUAUUAACAAUUAAACAUGCUUCCUUUAUUAAUUAACCUUUAUUAAUGAAAUUAAGUGGAUGUUAUCAUAAACUUCCAUAUAAUAACAAUGGUUUAUUAUCCAUUUUAGGCCAUUUGCAUAAUUGCUAAUUGGGUCUUCGAACGUUUUCUAAAUUAAAAUUAAAUAACGAUUGAAGUUUUACAAUUUAAUUCUUGUACUAUAUUUAAUGAUUUUUCAGAUUUAAUUACCCAACCUACUGUUAAUAUAUUUUUCAUACUAACUUUAUAAAUACUGAUUAAUUAAAAUGAUUAACUAAAUAUAUAUAUUUGAAAUUAUUUUUAAUAUAAUAUAAAAAUUUUAUUAAAAUUUUAAUUUUAACUAUUAUACUCCUUAAAUACUUUAACCAUAAAGUUACGUACGCAAUUAAAUUUUAAUAAAAUUUGUAUAUUAUAUUAAAAAUAAUUUCAAAUAUUUUUGAAAACUAUACAACUUUGGUUUCCUAUUUAUAACUUUUUUGUGGUACAUCAAUUAUUUAAAUCCUGAUUAUUUCUCGAGAAAAUAAACAUCCGGUCAAUUGGUCACAAUAUGGGGUUCGAUCCAUUGUUUAGAUUUUAAUCAUUUGGGUAUGCAACUCUUUUUUUUAAAAAUAUCGUUGAUUGAACUUUAACUCAAUUGUUAACAUAUUAUUAUAGCAACAAUAAAGGGGACGUGGGUUUAAGCAUGCAUAUAAAUGUUUUUAUCGUCCAUUUGUGAGUGUGGGAGGUUUAUGAAUAAUUUCGGGACUGUAUAAAAAAGAUUACGUACGCAAUGUGACAAUUAUUAACUCUAUAUGCCCCGCCAAAUUCAAAAGUCCUUUUCAUAGUACAACAAGGGUAAAUGCUAAAAAUGAUUAUCUAAUUAUUACUGUUUUUCAAUUUUGGUCACCCAUGUUUAAAAAUGUUUAUCUUAGUCAUGUUACUGAAAUUUAAUAUUUUGGCCACGCCUUCGUUAAAUCACUAAUGGUGAUGUCUAUUUUAGUCACGUUACCAAAUUUUAAUAUUUUAGUCACGUUUCCGUUAAAUUACUAAUGGUGAUAUUUUUUAAUUUACAUAAUAACAAAUUUAGGCCUCAAAUAUCUAACUCGAUUGAAAAAAAUAAUUGAAUUAAUUAAUUAAUUAAUAUUUUGAAAAAUAGAAAACUAUCAUAAACAUUUGUUGGAUUAAAAUUUUUUUUAUUUUAUUAAAUGUGGAUUAAUAUAUGACGAAGGACAGUACUAGAAUGAAGUUAUUUGGUCUAAAGGGAAUUGCAGAAGAUACAAUAAUUUAUAAUGACCAACACAUCAAUAACAUGUGAAAAACACGAAAACCGACAAUGAAAAUAAAAACGCAGGGGAGGAAACAUCCAAUCUAAAAUUAAGUUAAAGCUAGCACUUGGAUCAUUUAUUUUUGUAGACAGAAUGCUCUUUAAACCAUUCUAAUUAUUUAGUGAAGAAAUUCUUAUUUAUGCAACUCUUCCUAUUUAAAAAUCAAGCAGCCAAUUAGAUCAAGUUUGUGUUGCCUGGUCAAAAUUUGUUUUGUCUUGUCAUAUUACUAGUGAGAAAUCAAGCACGUAUUACAUAAAAUGAUUUGGACAGUAAAUUGUUUUCAUGUCUGCGGCUAUUUUCAGUAUAAAUAUUUCUGUUUUCUUAAUAAAAAUCAAGCAACAAUUCUACUAGCUUUCAUCUACAUUUCGCCCAAGAAAUUAUAGUAAAGCAUAGACAAUGAGAGGAACAUUGAUGUUGAGUUGGAUUCUGAUCAUCUGCCUCUCCCUAGUAGCAGUGCAGAGCCAAUACUACUCGAAGACCCUACCAUAUCAUCCCAGGCCAGUUAAGGUCACCAAACUUCACUUCUUUAUGCACGAACAUACGGGUUACAGCAGUCCAGGUAGCCCAAGCUAACAUCACAAGCAAUAAUUCAUCAGUGCCACUUGCCACCCUAGUUGCCGUUAAUGAUCCCCUAAGGACUGGUCCUGAGCCUGACUCGAAGGUGAUUGGAAAUGUUCAGGGUAUUGCGCUUUUGUCCAAAAUGAAUGCAUCGAGCACGCAAUACAUAGAUUUUGGAUUUAAUACAAGUGAUAAGUCGUAAAAGUAACAUAAUUUUAAUCUCAUUCUUGAUGUGUUUUUGGAUGAUUUAUUAUGAAAAUUAGUGAAUUUGAUGCUUCUAAUCCUUUAAAUUCAUGUUUCUAUACUUAGGUAAGCAUAGAGGAGUGAAAGGAGCAAAAAAUUAGCUAAAAUCGGACAAAAAGAGCUGUUUUAAUGAUGCACACGGCUUGGGCAUUUCCACAUGGGUUGGGCACACGCCCGUAUGAGCCACACGGGCUGACCACACGCCCUUAUGCCAGCCCAUGUCCAUUUCGCAACCUGCUUUCCAGAUACGCGAAAAAAUCCAAUUUUUAAGCGUUUUGAGCAUUCUACUAAUCUCAUACUUUUCAAGUACAUUUUACUUUUAUGGGUCUUGGCAGUCUAUUGGUCAUGUUAUCGAAAUUUAAUAUUUUGGUCAUGCAUCCGUUAGUUCACUAGUGGUGACUAGAGGUGUGCAUGGGUCGGGCCACCCGGCUCGGCCCGAAGGCCUGCUCGAAAUGUGGGAGGGUUUAGGCAAAAAUAUAGGCUCGAAAAAUGCACUUCAGCACAAAAAUAAGACCCAUUUAAAAAAUGGGUCGGGCCUUGGGUAAGGCAUUUUUGGCCCGGGCCCGGCCCGAAUCCACUAAAUAACAAAAAAAUCUAUUUUUUUAAUAUUAUUUUUUUCCUAUUUUCCUAUUAUUUUACUAUUAUGUUGCUACUAUUUUGUUGUUAUUGUUUGGAUAUUGUAUAAAACUUAUUUUAUUGUUAAUUUUUUAUUAUUUUAAAGACAUUUGCUAAUUUUGUUAUUAUUUUAGAGGAAUUUACUUGUUAAGUUGCAUUUAUUUUAGUGUUUUUUAAGUAUACAUAUUUUUUAAAAUUUAUUUUCAAUUUGUUGAAAAAUAUUUAUUUUGAUCUUUUUAGUAUUUUUGAUGACUUAUAUAUAUUUUAAAAUUAUAUAAAAAUAAUAUAAAAAUUAAUAUGGGCGGGCUGAGUCAGGUUCAGGUUUUAACAUUUUUAUUCAGGCCGGGUUUGGGCAAAAUUUUAGGCCCAUUUUUUGGGCCGUCGCCUGGACCUAGCAAACUGGCCUAAAUUUUUAGUUGGGCCCGGCCCGGCCCGACCCAUGCACACCUCCAAUGGUGACCUUUUUUAUUGGAAUAAUAACAAAUUUAGUGCAAAUAUUUAACUGGGUUGAGAAAAUAAAUUAUUUGAGUGAAUAAAUUACAUUUAUUUUAAAUAAAUAAAAUUUGGGGAAUAAAAAAUUAUUUAUUGGUUGGUUAAAUUAUUCGAGUUGGUUUAAUGUUUAGAUAAGAGAUAUAAUUGUUUAUAAUAAAUGAGACAGACUUGAUAUGGCCAUCCCAUGUGUGAUAGGCAACAUUCAGGGUUCCCAAAGGGAGUGUGCGUUGCCCACCAAGUAACCCUAUUUGGUAGGGUUACACUUAUUUUGUAACAACCCGUAGUAGCGCCUAGGAGUUUGGUACAGCAAACCGUUAUUGUCUAUUAAGGGAAAAGAUCAGUUGAUUAACAAUUAGGGAAUGAAUUGCGAAAAGGGUAAAAGCAAGACUGCAAGAGUAGUUGGAUAGUUAUUUGACCAAAGAGUUGUGGAAAUAGUUUCCCUCCUUAAUUGAAACAGAGUCAUGCAUGUAGGACCUCUUCUGUCAUUAGGAGACCCUUACGUCGCAUACUACCCUAGUUACAUAUGAAUUAAAACUCCGCCAAUGAAGGUUUUAAACCUCCAUAAAUACCAAAGCCCCUUUAUUAGCCAAAUCUGUUGCGGAAAGGAUCGAUUCGAGAACUCCGAUAUGACUACAAGUAAAUUGACCGAAACGAAAAAUAAAGUGAACACAAGGAUUUACGUGGUUCGGCUUUAAUGCCUACGUCCACGGGCAGAGGCGAAAAGAAAUUUCACUAUAACAAGAUGAAGAUUACAAGUGUUUUACACUCAAGACACAACCCGAGAACCUCACAACUCUCAACCCCUAUAGAAAACCCGAAAGCUAAAAUCCUAGCUUUCAAAGAACAAGCUUUGCUCUCUCUUGGUUUGGGAUGAUCAAUAUGGCUAAUGAACCUCUCUAUUUAUAAGAGAGUUCAAGGACAUAAUUGUCCAAAACUUUGGCAAAGAUUUGUGGUUGAAAAUGGACACCAACAACCAUCCACUAAUCCACUACCACCAACAACCCACUACCAACAACAACAAUCCACUACCAAUUUUAAGCCAUUUCUUAACAAAUCUCCACCUUGGCUUGAAAUUUACCAAGCUGAACAUCAUAGUGAACUGGAUCACCUCUUCCAAACGCCUCUCUGGCGCUAAUCAAUCCCGAAUACCUAUCAAGUCCAAGCAAUGCUUGAACUUAUAUGCAGGGAUCACCUUAGUUAACAUAUCUGCAGGAUUCUUCUCGGUAGCAACCUUGCUGAUAACAAUGUCACCUUGCGUAACAUGUUCCCGAACAAAAUGAUAUCUGACAUCAAUGUGUUUGGUCCGUUCAUGAAACAUCUGAUUUUUAGUCAGAUGUAUGGCACUCUGGCUAUCGCAAAAUACAACAGUGAAAUCCUGUUGUAAACCCAAACUGCUUACUAGACCUUUCAUCCACAAUGCUUCUUUCACUGCUUCUGCUAACGCCAUAUAUUCCGCCUCAGUCGUAGAUAAGGCUACGGUAGACUGUAACACAGCUUUCCAACUAAUGGCUCCUCCAGAAUAAGUGAAAACAUAACCCGUCAGAGAUCUUCUUUUGUCCAGAUCUCCAGCAUAAUCAGAGUCCGCAUAGCCCGUGACACUGCUAGUGCAGUCACUCUGAUCAUAUACCAAGCAUAAAUCUGCAGAACCUCUCAAGUACCUGAGAAUCCAUUUCACGGCCUGCCAGUGUUCCUUGCCAGGACAACUCAUGUAUCUGCUGACCACACUAACUGUAUGUGAAAUGUCUGGACGAGUGCAAACCAUUGCAUACAUCACGCUUCCAACUGCACUCGAGUAUGGAAUGUGAGACAUUUGCUGCUUUUCUUCAUCAGAUUGUGGUGACAACUCUGCAGAGAGUUUGAAAUGUGGUGCCAACGGAGUACUCACAGUUUUCGCUUUAUCCAUGCCGAAGCGUUGAAGAACCUUUUCAAUGUAGUUCUUCUGCGACACACGAAGCUUGCCCGCCUUGCGAUCUCUGUGAAUAUCCAUGCCCAAAAUUUUCUUGGCAGCACCCAGAUCCUUCAUCUCGAACUCACCACUCAACUGCGACUUUAACUUGUUGAUUUCCGACAUGUUUUUGGAAGCAAUUAACAUGUCAUCAACAUACAGCAACAAAUAAAUGUGCGAACCAUCUGAGAGCUUCCGAUGAUAGACACAAGCAUCAUAGUCACAUCUUGUGUAACCAUGCUGAAUCAUGAAGCUAUCAAACCGCUUGUACCACUGCCUUGGGGAUUGUUUCAAUCCAUAUAAAGACUUCUUUAAUAGACAGACAUGGUCUUCUUUACCAGGAACUGUAAAACCCUCUGGUUGACGCAUGUAGAUUGUUUCCUCGAGCUCACCAUGCAAGAACGCCGUUUUUACGUCAAGCUGCUCAAGUUCUAGAUCAGACUUGGCCACCAUGGCAAGUAAUACACGAAUGGAAGAAUGCUUUACGACUGGGGAGAAAACUUCAUUGUAGUCAAUCCCCUCUUUCUGAGUGAAGCCUUUAGCAACCAAUCGUGCCUUGAAUCUAGUUGCUUCAACCCCUAGGAUGCCUUCCUUUUUCUUGAAGACCCAUUUGCAACCAACUAUCUUCUGGUUACUUGGCGGCUUAACCAACUCCCAAGUAUGGUUCUUGUGAAGAGAUUCUAUCUCCUCACUCAUAGCAAUUGCCCACUGUGCCGACUCAUCACACGUGACAGCCUCAUUAUAACUGGAAGGUUCUAUACCAAUGGACUCCGCCACACUGAGCGCGAAAGACACCAGAUUAGCGUAACGCGGAUUUGGUUUGAUUUGUCUCUUCGUUCUUCCAGUGGCAAUGCUAUAUGGUUUUUCUUGAGGUGACUCAUCUUCAUCGGAAUCUUGCACCUCAACUUGAUCAUCCUGGACUGAAGUACCUUCCGUAGGAAUUGGAGCGUCCACCUGACACUCCACCUGCUUCUCAACACCGUGAUCUCCCAUUCUAUCUGACUCCUCCUUUUCCCGGGAAUUUGUGGUGGAUCGAAGCAUGGAUGACUCAUCAAAAGUCACAUCUCUGCUGAUGAUGAACUUGGACGAAACCGGAUCAGGACACCACAACCUGUAUCCUUUCACCCCUUGGCCGUAUCCAAGAAAUAUGCAUUUCUUCGCCCUCGGUUUGAGUUUUCCCUCAUUUACAUGAGCAUACGCAGGGCAGCCAAACACUCUUAAACCAGAGUAAUCAGCAGGAGAACCAGACCAUACUUCCUCAGGAGUCUUCAGCUCAAUAGCUGUUGACGGAGAUCUGUUAACCAAAUAACAAGCAGUAUUAACAGCUUCAGCCCAAAAUUCUUCACCGAGCCCAGCAUUUGAUCGCAUGCAACGAGCUCGCUCCAAGAGAGUUCUAUUCAUGCGUUCUGCAACUCCAUUUUGUUGUGGUGUUCGACGAACAGUGCGGUGUCUCACUAUUCCUUCAUUUUUGCAGAACUCAUUGAAUUCACCUGAGCAAAACUCCAAGCCAUUAUCCGUCCGGAAUCGCUUGAUCUUCUUUCCUGUUUGAUUUUCGAUCAAAGCUUUAAAUUGCUUGAAGUUGAUGAGAACCUCAUACUUGUUCUUCAGAAAAUACACCCAAACCUUUCUCGAGUAAUCAUCGAUAAAGGUAAGCAGAUAUCUGUAACCACCUUUAGAAAUUGUCGGAGAAGGCCCCCAAAGGUCAGAAUGGAAGUAAUCCACUGUGCCUUUUGUCUUGUGAAUCCCAGUGCUGAACUUUACCCGAGUCUGCUUACCGAAGACGCAGUGCUCACAGAAAUUCAACUUUCCUGUACACUGCCCAGACAAUAAUCCUCGUUUGCUUAGCACCGAUAAGCCUCUCUCGCUCAUAUGCCCGAGCCGCAUAUGCCAUAACUUCGUGGUGUCAGAAUCUAGAUCAUCUGAUGAUGACACUCCCGCAACACCUGUAACCGAGGAACCAUCGAGGAAGUAAAGGCCCCGCUCCAAAUUACCACGUAUCACAGUCAAAGCACCCGAGAAUACCUUGAGAACUCCACCUUCAGCAGAGUACCGAAAGCCUUUCUUGUCCAACGUACUCAAAGAGAUCAAAUUUUUCUUCAUUUCUGGAAUGUGCCGAACAUCAGUUAGAGUUCUAACAAUACCGUCAAACAUCUUUAUACGAACUGUGCCAAUCCCCAUGACUUGACAUGCGUGGUCAUUUCCCAUUAGUACUGAACCAGAAUGCUUCUCGUAUGUUGAGAAUGCAUCUUUCGAAGUACUUAUAUGAAAUGUAGCUCCCGUAUCAAGAAUCCAUCUCCCACCAGCGUAAGAGUCGGAUACUGCAAGAACGAUCUCGGCAUCACUUGAAGAAUCUGCAUCAGCUACAUUCGCACGAUCAUUUUGUUGCUCCUGUGAUUCUGAUUUCUCCUUCCUUUUCGGACAAUCUACCUUCAUGUGCCCGUACUUCUUACAGUAGUAGCACUGUAUUCUCUUCUUGGACUGCGAUCUAGGAUGGCUUUUACUUGAACUUCCACCCUUUGCCUUGGAUCUUCCUCGAGCAACCAAGCCUUCGCCUUCAUUGUUUUCGACCACCUUACCAGUGAUUUUCUUCCUCAACUCACUGGAACUUAAGGCAUUUUUCACCUCCUCUAGAGUCAGGUCAUCACGACCGUACAUCAUUGUAUCAACAAAAUUCUCAUACGAGGGAGGCAAAGAACACAAAACAAUUAUUGCUUGGUCCUCAUCAUCGAUUUUGUUAUCGAUAUUAUUCAAAUCCAUGAUAAUGGAAUUGAAUUUAUCCAGGUGCUGGGAAACAGGUGUACCUUCCUCCAUCUUCAGGGCAUAGAGUCUUUGCUUGAGGUAGAGCCGGUUCGUCAAUGACUUCGUCAUGUACUUGCUUUCUAACCGGAGCCACAAACCGGACGCGGUUUUCUCAUCCGCUACUUCUCGUAGCACUUCAUCUCCUAGACAUAGCAGAAUAGCACUAUGUGCUCUUUCUAGCAUGUCAUCCUUUUGCUCUUCCGAAAGCGUGCUUGGUAAUUUAUCUUUACCAGACAAUGCUUUUAGCAAUCCUUGUUGAACCAGCACUGCCCGCAUCUUGAUGCGCCAUAAACUGAAACUAUUUUUCCCGGUAAAUUUCUCGACAUCAUACUUAGUCGAUGAAACACUUGUAGCCAUAAUUUGGAACCUUUGAAUGAAUGAUAAUAUUUUCUUCCUGAUGUGAAAGAUCAGACAAAGCUGCAGUCACAGGGCAAUUCAGAAAAUAUUAUCACUCCUUCAACUACGCUCUGAUACCAAUUUGUUGCGGAAAGGAUCGAUUCGAGAACUCCGAUAUGACUACAAGUAAAUUGACCGAAACGAAAAAUAAAGUGAACACAAGGAUUUACGUGGUUCGGCUUUAAUGCCUACGUCCACGGGCAGAGGCGAAAAGAAAUUUCACUAUAACAAGAUGAAGAUUACAAGUGUUUUACACUCAAGACACAACCCGAGAACCUCACAACUCUCAACCCCUAUAGAAAACCCGAAAGCUAAAAUCCUAGCUUUCAAAGAACAAGCUUUGCUCUCUCUUGGUUUGGGAUGAUCAAUAUGGCUAAUGAACCUCUCUAUUUAUAAGAGAGUUCAAGGACAUAAUUGUCCAAAACUUUGGCAAAGAUUUGUGGUUGAAAAUGGACACCAACAACCAUCCACUAAUCCACUACCACCAACAACCCACUACCAACAACAACAAUCCACUACCAAUUUUAAGCCAUUUCUUAACAAAAUCUUUAUUGAAUUCUUUCUCUCUUUUUGUUUUCUGUCGAGUUCCUGCAAAUCAGAAACCAAGUUUGUUUUCCUUAAAAGAUUCAAGGUAAGACUCUGUUUCUACAUUGCAUUAGAUAACUAGAAGUAAUUUUAGGGCCUUUAAGUAAGUUCGCAACACAAGAAACUUGGCUCGUCAAAAGACUAGUAUGUGCGAACCUAGGCUCGCUUGUGUUUAUCAAUGAGUUUUAAUGUGCUUUGACUGUUAGUUACUUCCUUAUAUUUGUGAAGUUCCGACAAGCAAAAACAAUGGAAAGACGAAGCUUAUUUAAAGCUUUCAGCUAACUGGUGAGUGUGCAGGGAUUGCCACUUGUAUGUGCAAACCAUAGUGUUAAUCAGGAGCUUAGGGCUUUAUUUUGGGAGUAAGUCUUCUCUAAUCUUUGUUUUGUGAUUGUGUUUUGUGAUUUGGGCGAGAGGCCUUGGGACAAGUUAGGAGUAAUAAGGGAAUGAUGAGUUAAGUUCCAUUUAAUGUGAUACGUUGAUGUGAUGGAAAGUGUUAGCUUAAUGCUACACUUAUGAGAUGUGUUAGACUCAUUGAGUCAAAGUAAGGUGUUAUAAGGAAAUCCGUUUAUUCAACUGAAAAGAAUAUGUGAAUAAGACUUAGUUCUCCAGAAUAUUAUGUUUUUAUGUUUUGUAUUAACUGACAGUGUGUAACUGCGAACUAGACUUCAUCGUAAAUUUGGCUAACCCAGUUCGCAAAACAGGUGAAUGUAUCUUUUCCAAAAUAGAACGUUCUACUGAUUUUGUAUCUGCAAACUAGACUUCCCAUAAUUUUGGCAAAUCUAGUUCGUAGAAUAGUAACUUCUGUAAGCUCUUGCUUAACUUAAGUCUUUGUGCGUGCUAUGACAUUUCAGAUAGGUAGCGUUGGGUGAGGGCAUGUGGCGAAGCCAAAGAUCCGGUAUAUUUCCCUGAGCUUUAAAAGUUUAAAUUAAAUAAAAAUACUAAUGUUAUGAUCUUCUUUCUUCAAAAAAAAUAUUUUCCCAUGUUUUAUUAACCCUAAAAGACUUUUAACAUUAUAAGUUGUUUUAUAUGUUAAUCCAUAGCUCACAAUCGCACCAACUUGCAGACUGAAUUUUACUUUAAACUAAAAUUUUUCCUUCAUCUGUACCAGCUUGCGUCUCUGAAGGGUUCGCGAGAACCCCUCCAAGACCGUAUAGAUCGCAGUAGAAAGUCCUCCGAGCUUUUAAAUUACUCACUGGAAGUAGUACACAAUAAAGUUUCCUAAGUGCUAAACUGAGAACUCCCAUGUGAUUAGCGAGUUCUAUUCUUAGCUUACCUGCUUUAGUGCGAAACAUUGGUAUGAAGUAACAAACUGCGAGCCUCUUAGGGCGCGAACCCUAGGAACAAAACCUUUGAGUUUUCAUCCCUUAGACCAUUGCGUGACAUCUCCGCUGCAUCUUAACACAUAAACCUAUUUACGUGUCGUGUGUUGGAGGUCCGAUUAGCACCCACCAACCUCCGAGUCAAGUUGUUCCGGUCAAAUUUGGAGUGUUACAUAUUUUUUUAUUUAAACAAUAUUAUUUUACUACCUCUUGUUCAACUAUGACUCUUAAUAUUUUUUUUUAUAAAUAGAGAUAAUGAACUAGGUCAAAGAGACAAUUUGCUAACUGUUGUUACUUUAUCAAAUUUUAAUAAGAUUUAUUAUACAAAUACGUAAUUUAAGAAUACUUAAUACAUAUGCAUUAAAAAUAAUCAAAGAUAUUGUGCUACCCUUCAAUAUUAUUAGUCACAUGAAAUAGAAUUGUAUGCAUAAAAUUAUAUAAAUGAUAUGCACACCAUUCAAACCAUAAGAAAAACGCAGGGGAGGAAACUGCCAAAUUAAAAAUUUGUUUUGAAGAAAACUUCCAAACUACAAUUAAUUUAAAGCAAAUGGAUGAUUGUACAACGCUGACCAUUCUAAUUAUUACGUCUAGUUAUUCUUAUGUUUUCAUGUAUUAUUCCUAGUUAAACAUCAAGCAGCUAAUUAGACCAAGUUUCUGUCGCGUGGUAAAGAAAAGAAUUCUUUAUAAUAUGUAAAAUGUUUUGGGCAAUCAAAUAUUUUUAUGUCUGCGGGUUUUCUCAGUAUAAAAGUUUCCUUUUUGUUAAUAAAAAUGAAGCAACAGUUCUAUAGCUUUAAUCUACAUUUCGCCCCAGAAAUUAUAGUAAAGCAAAGACAAUGAGAGGAACAUGGAUGUUGAGUUGGAUUCUGAUCAUCUGCCUCUCCCAAGUAGCAGUGCAGAGCCAAUACUACUCGAAGAGCCGACCAUAUCAUCCCAGGCCAGCUAAGGUCACCAAUCUUCACUUCUUUAUGCACGAACAUACGGGUGUUACAGCAGUCGUGGUAGCCCAAGCUAACAUCACAAGCAAUAAUUCAUCAGUGCCAUUUGCCACCCUAGUUGCCGUUAAUGAUCCCCUCAGGACUGGUCCUGAGCCUGACUCGGAGGUGAUUGGAAAUGUUCAGGGUAUUGCGCUAAUGGCUGGAAUGAAUGCAUCCAGCACACAAUACAUAGAUUUUGCAUUUAAUACCGGUAAGUUUAACGGCAGCUCUCUAAGCGUAUUUUCAAGGGGAGAACCUGGGCUUGCGGUGGUCGGAGGAAGAGGACGAUUCAUGAUGGCAACAGGGGUUGCACUAUUUAACCCUAUCCUUAUAAAUGCCACCACUGUCAUUAUUGAAUUAAACGUUACUGUAAUUCAUUACUAAGGUGCUAUUUACAGACGCAGU
This 12479-nucleotide long non-coding RNA is filed under the name Gossypium barbadense (sea-island cotton). RNAcentral describes it as "long non-coding RNA (GBAR_LNC002816)". Lineage: Eukaryota; Viridiplantae; Streptophyta; Magnoliopsida; Malvales; Malvaceae. The record is from RNAcentral.